GAUGAACCACCUCAGCCAUAAGCCAAACCCAAGAAAACUCGGAUUUUCCGAUUCUGAACUCGGUCUCACCGAAACAUGAGUUGCCAAGCUUCUGUAACCUUCUGUCAUCAAAUCGGUGUCACCGAGAUGAUGAAGUCGGUCCCACCAAAACUGGCAUGCUCUUGUCAUUGCACGAAUCGGACUAACCGAGAUUGUAUUUUCGGUCCCACCGAAAAUCCCAACGUUCACAUUAUUUGAACUAUCGGUCUCACCGAGUUGUCCACUUCGGUCCCACCGAGAUUGCUCAAAUGUGUGUAACGGUUGGAUUUUGUGUGGAGGCUAUUUAUACCCCUCCACCCCCUCUUCAUUCGUGGAGAGAGCCAUCAGAAAGAACUACCACUCCUAUCUUAUAUUUCUGAGAAGAGAACUACCUACCCUUGUGUUGAGAUCAAGUUGCUCCACUCCCACCAUAUGAAGCUUGAUCUCUAGCCUUCCCAAGUUGCUUUCCACUCAAUCCUUUCUUCCACCACAGCCAUAUCAGUGAGGAGAGUUGAGUGUUGGGGAGAUUAUCAUUUGAAGCACAAGAGAAAGGAGUUCAUCAUCAUCUACAACAUCUAUUACCUUUUGGAGGGUGGUGCCUCCUAGAUUGGUUAGGUGUCGCUUGGGAGCCUCCGUCAUCGAGAUGUGGAGUUGAACCAAGAAGUUUGUAAGGGCAAGGAGAUCGCCUACUUCGUGAAGAUCUACCCCGAGUAAGGCUAGCCCUCCGUGGGCGUAGGCCAUGAUGGAAUAGACAAGGUUGCUUCUUCGUGGACCCUUCGUGGGUGGAGCCCUCCGUGGACUCGCGCAGCCGUUACCCUCCGUGGGUUGAAGUCUCCAUCAACGUGGAAGUACGAUAGCACCACCUAUCGGAACCACGAGAAAAAUCACCGCGUCUCCAAAAUUGCGUUUGCUCUUCUCCACCUCUCUUUACUACAUGUGCAAUUUACUUUCCGCUGCCUAUACUCUAGAAUUGCAUGUGUAGGGUGAUGCUUGACUUGAUCAUAAGUGUGAAUCUGCCAAAAACUGUUCUUUAUCAAAAGGCAGAAUUUUUAUAUUGUCAAGUAGUCUAAUCACCCCCCCUCUAGACAUACUUUCGAUCCUACAAGUGGUAUCAGAGCUUUGGUCUCCGUUGUAUUGGUUUCCAUUGCAUUGGACUCCAUAAGCUUGGUUUCACAACCUAGGAGAGUAUGGCGUCUAGUGAGGGUAAUUUUCGUAGAGGUCCUUACUUUGAUGGUACAAAUUUUGCUAGUUGGAAGCAUAAAAUGAAAAUGCAUAUUCUUGGUCAUAAUCCAGCCGCAUGGGGCAUUAUUUGUGUUGGUAUGCAAGGUGAAUUCUUCGAGGAAGGAAAAGUUCCAGAUCGCGAAGCUACAACUGAAGAAUUGCGGAUGUUGCAAAACAAUGCUCAAGCUUGUGACAUUCUCUUCAAUGCCUUGUGUCCCGAGGAGUUCAACAAAAUCAGCCGUCUUGAGAAUGCAAAAGAGAUUUGGGAUACUUUGGUUGAAAUGCACAAAGGUACCGAGUCCGUGAAGGAAUAAAAGCUAGAUAUUCUUCAAGGUCAACUUGACAAGUUCAAGAUGAAGGAUGGUGAAGGAGUCGCUGAAAUGUACUCUAGGCUUGCUCUCAUCACAAAUGAGAUUGCCGGCUUAGGAAGCGAAGAAAUGACCGACCGAUUCAUCAUCAAAAAGAUUCUCAGAGCUUUGGAUGGAAAGUAUGACACCGUGUGCACUUUGAUCCAAAUGAUGCCAAACUACAAGAAUCUCAAGCCAACCGAAGUCAUUGGAAGAAUUGUUGCUCAUGAGAUGACACUUAAGGAUAAGGAAGAGCUUCACAACAAGUUAAGUGGUGCUUACAAAGCUACAAGUGAUGCUCCCACAACCUCAAGUGACAAGUUAGUUUCCAAUGAAGAGAUAAGCCUAAUGGUCAAGAACUUCAACAAAUUCUACAAGAAUAGAGGCAAAGAGAGAAGCUCAAAGUCUAGAUCAUAUGAUGAAAAGAGAUCUUCUAGUCGUGAUCGAAACUGCUACAAUUGUGGAAGACCCGGACACUACUCAAAUGAGUGUACGGCUCCCCACAAGAGAAGAGAAGAAUCUCCAAGAAGAAGAAGCUCAAGAGAUGAGUCACCUCGGAAAGAGAGAAGGAGCAGAGAUGAUCGUUAUGAACGAAGACUCUCUCGGAGAAGCAAGGAUUCGGAGAGGAAAGACAAGUCAUCAAGGAGCUACACAAGAAGAAAACAUCAAGCUCAUGUAGGUGAAUGGGUCUCCGGCUCCGACUCCGACAAUCAAUCCGAAGGAAGCUAUCACUCCGACUCCGACUACAGUCAAGAUGAAGGUGUUGCCGGUCUUGCUCUCGUAUCCUCCAACUCCAACUCCUACGACUUAUUUGAUUCACCAAAUGAGGGAAUUGGAAGAUGCUUCAUGGCUAAAGGCCCCAAGGUAUCACACCCUGAAUUCAUUGACUUCAAUAGUGAUGAGGAUGACUUGCUUGGUGAAGAUGAGCUCUUGCUUGAUAAAUCCAGUGAGCCUAGUAAUGAUGAACAUGCUAAUAGUCUUUAUAGUCGAGAAGAGUCGAAUGACAAUGCUAUGAAGGAGAUUGAGCGUCUAACUAAAGAACUAAACACUCUUAAGUUAGCUCAUGAAACAACUCAAGAAGAUCAUAGAGAGCUCCUAAGAUCUCAUGAGAAGCUACGCUUCGAGAAGCUCACUCUAGAGCAAGAACAUGAGUUUCUAAAAGCAAUCAAUGACGAUCUUCGAAAGAAGAGUUCUUCAUAUCUUGCCAAACGACUUCUCUUGUCUAAUUUCUUGCCACCCAUUAAGACUAAGCAUGACAAGCAUAAGAAAAAUUCUUCCUCUAGCAGUAACAAUAACCAUGCUAAAUCCAAUGUUGUUGCUUCUAGUAGUUCUCUUGAUUCCACUAACAAUGUUUCAAGCCAAGUUACACUUGAGCAAGAAAAUAGUUUAUUGAAAGGGAUUAUAGAGAAAGGUGUCUACAAGAGCCUUGCCGGAAGCAAGAACUUUGAGGAAAUUGUUCGCAAGCAAGGAAGGCACCGGAAGAAUCAAGGAAUUGGUUUUGAGCAAAAGUUCAAUGCCGAAGGCGUUGAGUGGGAAGAAGGUCAAUAUCCUACUCCAUAGUUUGUUCCUCAAAAGGAGAAGUACGAUCCUACUUCUUCCAAUGCGGAACAAGCUCAAGAUGACCUUCCACCACAAGACCACAAGCUAAAAGGCAAGGACAAGCUUCAAGAGGAGAUUGAUGCAUUUGUUGAAGCACCUCAAGCCAUGGUCAAGUGGGUUCCCAAGGAAACGUCAAGUUCUACUUCGUCAAGCUCAACUACAACCCCAAGGAUUCCCAUCAAGAUGAUGUGGAUCCCGAAGAAGAAGAACUAGAAAGUUCUUGAGGGUGACUCCGCCAACAUACUUCACUCACAUUCAUUUUGGAAAAAACUUGUGCAAUCAACUUCCACAUCGUGCACUAGUUCAUGGAGUCACAAACCCUCUUGUUGGUAUGUCAAGGGACAAGGUAAUCAUUGCUUUCAUGGACAUCAUAUGUCGUGAACUUCAAUCUAUGUCCAUGGAUAUCCUUGUUUGUUCCUUGUGGGACUAACCCAUGUAGGUAUUGAAAGUGCCCGAAUCCAAAGGAUAGCUCCCAACACUUGAUGAUCUCCAUCAACAUUGAGCAUCUACAUCUUCAACAUCUACAUGAAGUCUUCUACGACAACCCAAGGUUAGUUUGACCCUUUAAAAGGGGUUCUCACAUCUAGGGGGAGCUUUGCUCUAAAAAUUGAGCUAAAGCAUCUUCAAAUGAUGUGAACACAUCAAUGCUUUAUGUAAAAGUGGUAACCCCACUUGUGCUUAAACGAUGAGUAUGACCUAUGAUCAAAUGUUCUCAUUUGGCUCCUAAGUCAAUAUACUCAUAUAAAGAUGACCUAGUCAUCGACAAAUUGUGUGUUAGUAGCUAGAGUUUUGGUUGUGCAUGUUUGACACAUAUUUCAUUUGCUAUCUUAUUGUGUGAGCAUGUUGGAUGCAUGAUUUCAUCCAUUCGAGGACAUCCAUUUGUUGUUUUGGUCGUUUUGAUUUUUCUGACCAAAUGGAUGGACAAGAAUGCCUAAGUACCUCCCCUAGCUAUCUAUGUUUUCUUGUCUCAAAUUCUAUUCAUGCUUACAUCACAAACUUUGAACAAGUCAUUUUCGGACCCUCCGGGUGAGGAGCACUCGGAGCCACCGAUCCGUCAAGGGCUAACUUCCAAAACCUUCUAAUUGAUUUCGGUCAGACCAACUCACUCAAACUCGGUCGAACCGAAAGCAUUUAGACUGAUCUAGGUUUUCACCUCGGUGAAACCGAGUUGUGAUUUUCGGCGUGACCGAAGUGCAUAACUGCCUAGCAGUUAUCCAUCUCGGUGCCACCAAGUUUUACAACUCGGUCCCACCGACAGCGAAGGGGUAUAUACUCCGAGGGCCGCGCGCGUUGAUUCCUCCUUCAAACGUUUCGCCCCCACACCCCUUGCUGCCGUCGCCUUGGUCUCCGGAUCGUCACCGUCGUCGCCUGUGCGCCCUCGCCGCAGGUCUCCGUCGCCGUCAACGGACAUCUCCUCCGCGCCGUUGCCGCCGUAGAAAAACUCCACCAAGUUAGGGUGAGUUUUGAUCCCACUCGUGCUCCCAUCUCCGAUUCAAUGCACGUUUGGAUUGCCUAGUAUCUUGCCACGAUUGAAAUCCUCCUGUACACCAGAUUAGUUCGUUUGGACUAGAUUCGAGUAAAAGUUUUAGGGUUAGGUUUCCGCCGAACACAUCUCGGUGAGACCGAUUUUAUAAUUUCGGUAUGACCGAUUUGGCCUAUGGCCAUUGCACUGCACCUUUUGGUCCAACCGAGUUGUGCAAAAUCGGUGUGACCGAAGUGAAGAUUCUGUGAAACCCUAGUGUUUUCGGCAGGACCGAAACCCACUUCGGUCAAACCGAAAGUGGUGUGCCAAGCUCCUGUUUAACACUUCGGAUUCACCGAACCUUAAACUCGGUCUGACCGAAAUGUCUUCUGUGAAAACGUAAUACUAGAAUUUGAACUCAUUUUUUUUGCAAAAACUUCUGCAGUUUGUGAUAACUCUUCUUCUCUGCCUACACCUUAUCUAUUCACAGGUUGUCAGCCAUGUCAGAUGCCAGUGACAGUCAGAACAGCUCAAAAACACCCAUUGCAGACAUUCCAGAGGCGGGCACUAGUCCUGAUCCUAGCAUCUCAUCAGAUGAUGGUGAGAGGAGUACACCAAGUGGAUUGCCUCCUGCAGCCACCAGAGCUAGAAAGAAGAGGAAUUCAGAUGAUGAGGAUUCAGAUUUUGUUGUUGAGGAAGAGGUAACCUCAAAGCCCAAAAGGAAGGUUGUUGCCAAAGAGCCACAGGGUCAACAAACUAAGAAGGGCACCAGCAAAGUCAAGCAGUCAACUGUUGCUAAGAAGCUGAAUUUGGGAGAGGCAGCUGCAAGCAAAGUGAAGAAAACCUCCAAGAGAAAGAGGAUAGUGCAUUAUGCAGUAGUAGAGAAUGAGGAUGAGGAAGCACCCCAGCCUCCUCAGAAGCCGAAGCUCAUGGGUGAUGCCAUUAAGGCUGGAGCCACAUCAAAGCCCAAGAAAUCUGCUCCAGCUAAGGCAGCUCCAGCAAAGCCUGCUACCAAGCCCAAGAAGACCGUCAGAAACAUUCCAGCGUCUGAAAAGAACAAGGAUGAUGUGCCACCAGCUGAGUCAGACGAUGAAGGACCAGUUUUGCUGAAACUUCGUCCAAAACUGCCACUCCAAGAUGAUGCUAAUCCUCAAGCUGAGGAUAUGAAGGCAAGGAAAGAUAGAGGUCUCAGGCUAUGGAGACAAACUGACCCAUAUGCCGUGAGGAGAAGAACUGCUGUAGAUCCCAGAUUUCACACCAGAGAGCAGCAGGACUUCUAUGAGACCGUGCUGAUGGACAAGAAGCCCAUAGUCGCAGACACCCGAUAUGUUGACUGGAAGUACAUUGACAGCGAAGAGCACAGAGAUUUCUUUCCACAUGUGCAUGAAAGUUUCACUGCAUGUGGCGUUGCAGACUUUGUAGGUCAGAAAUUGACCAGUUGGAAUGAUGAGAUGAUAAUGCAAUUCUAUACCACAGCUCACUUCUACCCUGAUGGAAAGAUUACGUGGAUGACUGAAGGUCAAAGGUUUUCUUCUUCUGUUGAAGAAUGGGCAGAAAUUCUGAAUGCUCCAGUGCAACGAGAAGAUGAUAUUGAUGUAUAUGGGAUUCCAAAGAAGAAUCAUGAAUCCAUGAAGAACAUGUAUAAAGAGAUUCCAGCAGAGGAUUUGGGAAUCUGGAAGCUCGGCUCAGUCUACUAUCUCCAGGCAGGCCUACCUACCACUAAUACCAUUUUGAGGCAUACCUUGAUGCCCAAGUCUGGAGAUCAUCGCAUGAUCAGAGGAUACUCUAUCAACAUGCUGCACAUACUUGAUGAGAAAGCACCUUUCAAGGUGAUGGACUUGAUGGUAGAGACCAUUAAGAGGACUGCAGCUGACCAGAAAAGGUCAUGUGGAUUUGCCCCGCAGAUUCAGAUGCUUAUCAAUGCCAAGUUUGGCACGGGCACAUUCUUGUUGGAUAGAGAACAUUUACCGUUGCAGCCAGAGCAUGAAGACAAUGUUGUUGUGAUGGAUGAGGAGGAUCCAACAUCUGUUGAAGGUCAAGCCAAGAUUGAAGCUGCCAAGAAAGCCAAAGCUGACAAGGAAGCAGCAGCAGCAGCAGCUAAACCAAAGAAUUUCGGAGAGCAAAUUCUUGAAGCUACCCAAAGGAUUGAACAACGCCUGGCCAGCAUUGUACAGUCUCAGGAGAGCUUAGAGAGGAUUGUUGAGGACAAGAUCCACGCUUUGGAUGUGAAGCUGACUGAAGUGCAAGUGACUGUCAACAAGCUUGAGGCAGACAUUGAGGAAGCAAAGCGGGAGAAGGAAGAGCUUAUGCGUGAGAUGCAGGAUGACUUAGUCCAGGAUGCUUAUCAACAGACUGCUCCGGUUCCCACAGGACCCCGAUCAGCUGCUAUUCCAGUGACUGACACCAGGACUACAGCUUCAGCACCUCCCACAGUUCCAGCAGUUACUCCAACUCCAGCUCCAGUGACCACUCCUCCAGCACAGACAUCAGCUGAAGUCUUCGCCGAUGCUGUCAUAUCCACUCCAACAUCAACCCAGACGGGAGCCGCCAGCAGAGUCCACAGUGACGCUUAGCUUUAUGCUUUUUCGAACUUUUUGGUAACUUGUUGCCAAAGGGGGAGAAAUUGUAUAGAUCAUAGGACUUCGAGAGAGAGAGUGUUGUUGUCUUUUGCGCUUUCGUUCUUUCAUUCUUUUGCGGUUUCUUUGAGUUACUUUUGGUUUCCGAGACAUUCAGUGUGUUUGAUACUCCGUUUGAUUCUACCUUAAUGAGUGCUUGGUCGUACUAUGCUUUAAUGUGUGCUUAAUGCUUAUCAUAUGCCAUUCCUAUCUCGUAUGACCAUUUACUCAUGUCUUGGUGAUUGGGUGCAUGCUGUUCAUUCUUAUCAUUUUGUGUGCUCCACCAAGAUGUAUGUGACAUGGAAGAGUGACCCAUGAUCCUAAUCAAUUGUGCAUUUGCAUUCAAACGCAAAUCUUAAAUAAUGCACAAAUUUAGGGGGAGCUCUUGCUUAUCACAUACUUCUCAAAGCGACGAUAUUAUUCAUUGAUUAUAUCCUUUGUCGAAGCUUUGAUCUAUAUGUUGUCAUCAAUUACCAAAAAGGGGGAGAUUGAAAGUGCAACUAAUCCCCGGGUGGUUUUGGUAAUUAAUAACAACAUAUAUAUCAUUGAACUAAUAGUUACUUGAGAAUCAUUUCAGAAAGUUCAGUGAUAUGGGUAUGGCAAGGACUGAAGAAGUGGACCCCUCAAAAUGCUAAGGCAAGCAUUGGCAAAAGCUCAAGACUCCAUUUUUGGUUUAGUGAUCCAAGAUCACAUUGAGUCCAUAGGAAAAGCCAAUAUUAUUAAAAGGGGAUGAGGUUAUGAUGAUGAUCUGGUUGCUCAAGUGCUUAGUGAUACAUCUCCUAAACUAUCAGCAAUUUUCACUGCCAUAUACACUCAUAAGUAGUCUCGGUCCCACCGAUAUUCCAAACUCAGUCACACCGAGAUGAACCACCUCAGCCAUAAGCCAAACCCAAGAAAACUCGGAUUUUCCAAUUCUGAACUCGGUCUCACCGAAACAUGAGUUGCCAAGCUUCUGUAACCUUCUGUCAUCAAAUCGGUGUCACCGAGAUGAUGAAGUCGGUCCCACCGAAACUGGCAUGCUCUUGUCAUUGCACGAAUCGGACUAACUGAGAUUGUAUUUUCGGUCCCACCGAAAAUCCCAACAUUCACAUUAUUUGAACUAUCGGUCUCACCGAGUUGUCCACUUCGGUCCCACCGAGAUUGCUCAAAUGUGUGUAACGGUUGGAUUUUGUGUGGAGGCUAUUUAUACCCCUCCACCCCCUCUUCAUUCGUGGAGAGAGCCAUCAGAAAGAACUACCACUCCUAUCUUAUAUUUCUGAGAAGAGAACUACCUACCCUUGUGUUGAGAUCAAGUUGCUCCACUCCCACCAUAUGAAGCUUGAUCUCUAGCCUUCCCAAGUUGCUUUCCACUCAAUCCUUUCUUCCACCACAGCCAUAUCAGUGAGGAGAGUUGAGUGUUGGGGAGAUUAUCAUUUGAAGCACAAGAGCAAGGAGUUCAUCAUCAUCUACAACAUCUAUUACCUUUUGGAGGGUGGUGCCUCCUAGAUUGGUUAGGUGUCGCUUGGGAGCCUCCGUCAUCGAGAUGUGGAGUUGAACCAAGAAGUUUGUAAGGGCAAGGAGAUCGCCUACUUCGUGAAGAUCUACCCCGAGUAAGGCUAGCCCUCCGUGGGCGUAGGCCAUGAUGGAAUAGACAAGGUUGCUUCUUCGUGGACCCUUCGUGGGUGGAGCCCUCCGUGGACUCGCGCAGCCGUUACCCUCCGUGGGUUGAAGUCUCCAUCAACGUGGAAGUACGAUAGCACCACCUAUCGGAACCACGAGAAAAAUCACCGCGUCUCCAAAAUUGUGUUUGCUCUUCUCCACCUCUCUUUACUACAUGUGCAAUUUACUUUCCGCUGCCUAUACUCUAGAAUUGCAUGUGUAGGGUGAUGCUUGACUUGAUCAUAAGUGUGAAUCUGCCAAAAACUGUUCUUUAUCAAAAGGGAGAAUUUUUAUAUUGUCAAGUAGUCUAAUCACCCCCCCUCUAGACAUACUUUCGAUCCUACA
This 9245-nucleotide long non-coding RNA is filed under the name Triticum aestivum (bread wheat). RNAcentral describes it as "long non-coding RNA (TAES_LNC007473)". The record is from RNAcentral. Lineage: Eukaryota; Viridiplantae; Streptophyta; Magnoliopsida; Poales; Poaceae.